This 1017-nucleotide long non-coding RNA is filed under the name Brassica rapa (field mustard). Its description in RNAcentral is "long non-coding RNA (BRAP_LNC000476)". The record is from RNAcentral. Lineage: Eukaryota; Viridiplantae; Streptophyta; Magnoliopsida; Brassicales; Brassicaceae.
AUUGGUAUACAUUAACCUCCAUAGCUAUAGUCGUACAUGCUUUCAUAUCUCUCAUGAGAAAGAUGCAUGCCCUCAACUAUCUGUGAACAAAUACAAGCAAAGAGGCUUGACAGAGAUAACUAAACAGACGGUUUGUCAAACGGGAAGAAUAUCCACGAAUUGUUGACAACUCAAGAAGGAAAGUCAAUGUGGAUAACAAAUAAAACUCGAUGCAGCUAAAAUACGUGAAAACAAAAUCUACUUUUUCAAACGACUUCACUUCUGUUCUCCAAACAAGGAUGAGUUCUAAGGAAGUGUACCGCAAACGACAGUAUGAAGACUCCUUUGCACUGAGAAAAAUGAGAGAUUAGGCAAAGCUUGGGGGUGAGGCUUCUGCACGAGAGGAGAUUGGUACUGGCAAUCCACUGGAUUGAGGGAGAGCUGUAAUCUUUCUCCAGUCUUUUGACACUCACACAAAUGUUCCUGAUCUUAAUCUUUAGACACCGAAGCAGAGUACAAUCUCAGUUGAGCAUCGCUAUAAAAGAGAUUUUUUCCUGAAUCUAGAGAAAAAAAUCAUCAACAUACCAAAAGAUGAAAGAAAAAUUACUAGAUCGGGAGGAGGUUUCAGAGACCGAAAGUAAAGCAAAGAAAAUCUGAAAUUUUGAGAAUCUCAAGCCCAUGAUUGGUAAAAUGCAAUCCUAACUCAACCUACAAUUACUGCUCUAAUUGAGGGCACAUAGAAGAGUUAGUAUGAACAAACCUUUAAAGAGGAAGGAGAGGAGCUCAAAUGCAAUACAUGCCUCACGAUGCAGAAACAUCCAAAAGCGAGUGAAGGACAUGAUUCGGGGAAAACAUUAGGAAAGACAUUCUUCGAUGAUGAAGAAGACUGGACGAGAACUUAGGGUCUCUUGAAAUAGGAGGAGGAUUGUCUCUUGGACUUGGAGGAGAAUGAUAUCGUAGAUGAAGACUCUAGUGAUGAGGAGUUUAUGUAGGAGAAUGAUUAAGAGGAUCAAUUCUAAACUUGGAAUUAAGAUUAAC